RNAcentral lists this ribosomal RNA (254 nucleotides) under uncultured bacterium. RNAcentral describes it as "partial 16S ribosomal RNA". It matches the Rfam family "Bacterial small subunit ribosomal RNA", at positions 524 to 776 of the family's 1533-position model. The record is from RNAcentral.
UACGGGGGGAGCAAGCGUUGUUCGGAUUUACUGGGCGUAAAGGGCGGGUAGGCGGCCACCGCAAGUCAGUUGUGAAAUCUCCGGGCUUAACCCGGAAAGGUCAACUGAUACUGCGGGGCUAGAGUGCAGAAGGGGCAACUGGAAUUCUCGGUGUAGCGGUGAAAUGCGUAGAUAUCGAGAGGAACACCUGCGGCGAAGGCGGGUUGCUGGGCUGACACUGACGCUGAGGCGCGAAAGCUAGGGGAGCGAACGGG